RNAcentral lists this long non-coding RNA (26332 nucleotides) under Citrus maxima (pomelo). RNAcentral describes it as "long non-coding RNA (CMAX_LNC001751)". Lineage: Eukaryota; Viridiplantae; Streptophyta; Magnoliopsida; Sapindales; Rutaceae. The record is from RNAcentral.
GUUGCUAUAUAACCAAACUGUUGCCCGCUUUUUUUCCUCCUUUUCAUGCUCUAGAAUUGAUCCGGUUUGACCCGGAUUCGACCCGACCUGCAACCUUGACCCGGACGGAUCUCGCGAUUCCGGCUACCUCACCGGCCAAGCUUGGUACCGAUCUGAAGCUUGGAAGCCGGCCGUCAUAACCCAGCUGUCCUCGUUGCCGGAAAACGGCAAAAACCCAUCAACAUCGCCGUUGAUUUCGCCGGAGUUUGGGCACACCUUCAGCUGGGCUCUACUCCUCACGUCACCAGCAUCAUUUUCCGACCAACCUUGUCACCUGAAACGGCCGGAUUGUCGACGAUCGGCCACUUGGAAAGCUCGCGGCUUUGGGAGCACGAUCCGCCGCCAUCACCGCGCGUGGGAACUCAUGGCCACCACCGUUGGACUCACCGAGGUCUAAACUAUCAGAGCUAAGCUUCCCAUCGUCGUUGACUGAAGUCCGGUCACCGUUGACCGGCAGGGGCAAUUCGGUAAUUUCAUAAAACUUUAGGGUGAAUUUGUAAUUUGAGGAAUCAGUGGAUAAUUUGGUAAUUUUAAGUUAGGGCAGUGAGGUAAUUUGAGAUUUCGAGGGUAAUUCGGUAAUUUAAAUCAUUAAGGACAUUUUGGUAAUUUUACACGCCGAGGGUAAUCUCGUAAUUUCUAAUAUUGUGGUAAUUUCGUGAUCUGAAUUGAGGACAAUUUAGUAAUUGAAUAUUCUGAGGAUAAUUUGGUAAAAUAAUGAUGUUGGGGGCAUUUUGGUAAUUUUGGCAUGUAGGAGUAUUUUGGUAAUUUUGUGCAUUUGGGAGUAGUUUUUUGUGGAUAGAUAUUCGUUCGAGAAUUAUUAUGUUAAAUUAGUUAUAUUUUAAGUUUAUGGAGAAUGAUUAUGUCAUUUCCUUGAUUAGGAAGAUCCGCGAACGAGAAUCAACCCGCGAACAUUGUUGAUACCGAGUCUGGACUUUGUCACUGUGAGUGAAAUAUACAAAACCUAUUUUCAUAGUAUAUGCUGAUUUUAUGAUACAGUGCAGUAUGUUUUGUUAAUAAGUAUUUGAUGCUUCGAUUUAAUGAUUUUCUAGGAAAUUGAUUUUUAUCUCUCGCUCUCUCACGUGCCCCUCUCUCUACAACAACUACAAUUUAUUUGAUAUCGAAGGAUCUCAACUCAUCAAAGCAAUGGCGGUGUACUCAAGGAUUCUAUCUCAAACGGAUGUUUGUAAUAUGCUGGCACUUCCUAGCACCUGUAUUGGAAAUUUUUUUCCGGCAUUCCCAGCUGACCAAUACGAUCAACAGUUGGUUGUAGAGGACGAGAAUGGAAAACAUUGGGAAUUCUCCUUGCGCAUCCGUCGGGGACAGUACAAGAUGCCCUGUAUCAGCAAACAAACCUGGCAUCCUUUUGUUGUGGAAAAGCAAGCUGAAGUUGGUGAUAAGGUUGAGUUUUCUAGGCAAACAGAUGGAGCUACCGGAUCAGAAUUCAGGUACAAGAUUAGAGUGAUGAAGCCAUAGAACCCACCAGCGGAGCUAUUCGGUUCUACUAUCGAUUGUGUUCGGCGCAUUCCAAACAAUUAAAAUGGACAACUGUUCGCUUUCUUUAUUAAUUGCAUGCUAUUAAACAUAUUAUUCGGUUUUUCUUUUCUAGUGGAAAUAAGAUUUGUUUGCAUUAAAAAAUUAAAAAAAAGUUUAUUAUUAUACUGAUUUGCCAGAAUUGCAGUUUAUGUUCAAAAAGUUGCGCUUCAAAAUACGGGAAAAUCUGAUCUAGAAGAAGAGUCAUUAAGCGAGCACCUUCUGACCGAGGCUGCCGAAGCUGGAAGAAAUCAAGAAUCCGUUUAUGAUGUUGGAUCCACUAAUAAUAGGAAAAGUUUAAAGAUACUAAAACUUUUCUUCCUUGCUAAUUAAUUUUGAAAACAUUCUCUUUUGAUAUUUGAAAAAUGGUCGAAUAUCCAUUUUCCAGUUUGGAUUUGGAUAGAGUGAGGUAAGAAUAUCAAAGUUUUGCAUACAAUUGGGCUCCAAUUUCUUAGUUUAAAACAUUUCAUUAACUGAACGACAAAUCAUUUAGAUAUCAAAGUUACGAGAAUGUUGUUUUCCUAAUUUAUUUUAUUUAAUUUUUUAGUAAACUUCACUAUUCUAUUCCUCUAUAUCACAGAUAAAUAAUUUACUCAGUAAGUGUAAAAAACCCAAAAUUCAGGUAAUUCGGUUUCAUUAAAGCAAUUGGGUCUUUUAAAACCAACACUUGUUGUUUCCUAUUUAUUGUUAACUUGGUGAACUAUAGAGAGUUUCGGUAUCUUAAAUAUUUAAAUGCAGAGUGAACUUGAAUGAUUAUGACGUUGAAUCACUACAAGAAAAAUACUAUAUGACAACAGGCAAAGCUUGUUGUGGAAGGGGUUUCACGACGAGCACAUGCGUGUUGCGGUUCUUGCUAUAGCGAAAAGUAUGUAACUUUCAACUACGCGCAAUUCACGUUGUUGAAAAAGAUAUGAAUGUUGUUAAAUGUCUUAUGACAACUUGUAGUGAUUGUGGUUAAAAAGGUCAUGUGCAUCUAAAUUUUUGACUACAAGCUUGUGAAUGUUGUGAUAAACUAUAUAGCAACAAGCAACUAAUUGUCGCCAUUAAUUUCAAUUUUUUUUUACAAUAAACAACAUAUCUUGCAUGUUGCCAAUAAUAAUAAUAAUAAUAAUAAAUAAUAAUAAUAAUAAUAAUAAUAAUAAUAAUAAUAAUAAUAAUAAUAAUAAUAAUAAUAAUAAUAAUAAUAAUAAUAAUAAUAAUAAUAAUAAUAAUAAUAAUAAUAAUAAUAAUAAUAUUAUUAUUAUUAUUAUUAUUAUUAUUAUUAUUAUUAUUAUUAUUAUUAUUAUUAUUAUUAUUAUUAUUAUAUUAUUAUUAUUAUUAUUAUUAUUAUUAUUAUUAUUAUUAUUAUUAUUAUUAUUAUUAUUAUUAUUAUUUAUUAUUAUUAUUAUUAUUAUUAUUAUUAUAUUAUUAUUAUUAUUAUUAUUAUUAUUAUUAUUAUUAUUAUUAUUAUUAUUAUUAUUAUAUUAUUAUUAUUAUUAUUAUUAUUAUAUUAUUAUUAUUAUUAUUAUUAUUAUUAUUAUUAUUAUUUAUUAUUAUUAUUAUUAUUAUUAUUAUUAUUAUUAUUAUUAUUAUUAUUAUUAUUAUUAUUUAUUAUUAUAUUAUUAUUAUUAUUAUUAUUAUUAUUAUUAUUAUUAUUAUAUUAUUAUUAUUAUUAUUAUUAUUAUUAUUAUUAUUAUUAUUAUUAUUAUUAUUAUUAUUAUUAUUAUUAUUAUUAUUAUUAUUAUUAUUAUUAUUAUUAUUAUUAUUAUAUUAUUAUUAUUAUUAUUAUUAUUAUAUUAUUAUUAUUAUAUUAUUAUUAUUAUUAUUAUUUAUUAUUAUUAUUAUUAUUAUUAUUAUUAUUAUUUUUUUUUUUUUUUUUUUUUUUUUUUUUUUUUUUUUUUUUUUUAUUAUUAUUAUUAUUAUUAUUAUUAUUAUUUAUUAUUAUUAUUAUUAUUAUUAUUAUUAUUUAUUAUUAUUAUUAUUAUUAUUAUUAUUAUUACUACUUAUUACUUACUUACUUACUUACUUACUUACUUACUACAACUACUACUACACUGCUGCCACCAUAUAUAAAAUGUAUAUGAACUAAUUCAAAUAUUCGGCUUAUUCUAAUAAGUUUUGAUAAACAUAGCAAUGACCACACAUCCCCGCUAAAAGUCACACAAAUAUUUUAGUAUUCAUACAAUUGAUCCAUAGAAAUGUCCAACAUCAGUAUAAUUUCCAUCUAGCAAAACACCUAAAAAAAAUAAUUACAACACAUCAGUGGCAGUUGUAAUUCCAUAAAUAUCAAAUUCAAAAAAUAAUCUCCAACAAAAGCUUCUUCAGCUUGCAAUUCCAGCAAAAACUUCCUCAAGGCAUACAUACACGCCAACAAAAACAUCUUCUUCAAGGCAUAAACUCCUACAAAAAGGUUAACUAAAUCAAAUUUUAUUUGCUGCAUUUGAAAAAUAACUAUAUAUACAUACCAAAGAGAAUAUUUGUAUGCCUACAUACCUUCUUUAAAACAAUUUAAUGCAACUUUUUGGCCAAGCAACAGUGCUUCCUAAAGCCUCAACUAUUAUAUGAGCUUCAUCUGUCACUUUAUAUAAAGUCACUUCAUCCAUACCAUCGGAUAUUGAUUCCACCCAAACUUUCCAACAAUCUCUUCCAAGAGGCAUGUGGUGAACUUUUGCCUUAGGGUCUGUUGAGGCAAUCGUUCCUUCAGCCACAAUUUCAUCAACAUCAUCUGAAUACCAAUUCAAUAAAUAACAUCUUGCAUUUUCAUAGUGGCUAUUUUCUUGCAUUGUACCGCUUCCUUGUUGUGACUAUAAGCAAGACGAAUAUGGAUUUACAACUUAUAGGAGUAAGAAAUAAAAGUUGGUUUAACCAGUACUUUUUUUUUUCUUUUCAAUGAAGCAUUCUUAAUAAGUCUAAAAAAAGAUAAAAAAGCAUUACCUGAGGAGUACAAGCUUGAGAAGUUAUAAUAUUAUCAAAACCUUUGCUUGGAUUCUGUAAAUGAUUAGAAUUCUCUUAAGUCUUAGAAUGGAUUUCAAAUAACUAGUUACAUGUAUAUAUGCAUUAUCAUAUAGUCAUUUACCUGUUGGCAUUGUUUUAAAAGCGCAGCUGUCAAAUGCUCAUAAUUCUUUUCAAGGACAGACAUUCUUUCAGAUUGAGCUUGCAGUUGGUUUUGAAGCUCUUUUACUUUUCCAGUAGAUCGAAUAUGUGCUUCUAAUUGAGUGGGAGUGGCUCUGAACCCCAGUCCUCGAACUUGUCCACGCUUUUCAGGUCCAAAUACUUUUGCAAUAGCAUCAUUACGUAUGUUGUUAGACCUUGCAUUAUCUUUUGAAUGAUGACACUCUCUAACUUUUUCCUAGAAGAAGGCAAAAUAACAUUAUUAAUAACAUACAUAUGAAUAGUUAUAACAGGAAUACUUUGUAUAGAUAUCUCCUACCAAUGCUUUAGAAGCUGCUUCAUUAACAGGUUAACCAUUCUUUUUAAGAUGGCCUUCGAUCCAAACAUCAACUCUAGUGAUUUCAGAUGGAUUUGAACUCUUUUUUUUUUCUACAAUUAAGAAAAAUAUGUAAUUUAAAGUAAAUCAAAUAAGUGUCAAAAAAUAAUCGAAUUAAAUAAAUUCAUACCAUGGUAUGCUCCUUCCUAGCAUAACCUAGUCGGCCCAUUGAAUGAACCACUUCCUGAUUAUUUCUCAUUUCUUUAAACUUCUUGCUUAUUGCCUAUCAAUCAAACAUUGAAAUGUAUAAUUUUAAUAGAUAUGAAACUUAAUUUGAAUACCAUUAUUGCAAUGCAAUGGACUAACUUACUUUAAAUUCUGGAGACAACCUUUCCUUGACAAAUUUAGCCCAAUCUUCUUUGGAAGUUAUAUUUUUUGGCUUGAUAAGAGCAAGUACACGUGCUUUAUUAUGUUCUUUGUUGGCUUGCUUGAUCUUAGUUGUUAGCUCUGAUUUGAAUCGUCUCCAGCAAUCACCCAUCAUUCUUAAAGCCAAGUGUUUACGAGACUUAUCCACAACGAAUUUUUCUUGUAUAACUUAUAAGAAAAAUGCAAACCAAUAGCUGAUAUAAUAAAUCUCAAGAUAACUGAUAUAAUAAAUCUCAAGAUAAAUGUUGUAUUUGUUAAUAAAGAUAAUUAUUGCAUAAUAUCAUAUACCUGAACUAAUGACCAAAGAUCUUCUUUUAGCUUGUGGUCAACCGAAAGCCUAUUUUUCAUACAAACAGGCACAUGUUCUCGUGUUAUAACUCUAAUAAAAGAUGCAUAUUUAUCAUAAUUUACACCUACUGCCUGGCCACAUUCGUUAAACUCAAUGCUCAAUGGUGGAGAUCGAUCUUGAAUCAUUCCAAGUUGGGUUGGACCUCUUUUCUUUUUUGUGCCUUUGUCAUCAGAUUGAGAUAUGUGCGCAUUUUCUCUAUUGCUAGUUGCUAAUGGUCCAUUCUCCCCUUGAAUAGUUGCAUUUUCUCCAAAUUUAUCUCGACUUCUUUUCUCACCUUGCCUAGAAGACUUUAUACAUAGCAUAAUUUAUGUAGGAAUAAACAAAAAUAAAAUAAGUAUAUGAAGAUAAAAAAUUAUAAUUCAUUGUUGAACCAAAAAAAAAAAAAAUUACUUACUUCAACAUUGUCCAUCUCUUUUACCCCCCUGCACAAUUGUUAAAUGCUGAACAAAAUGUUUAUAUUAUUAUGACAAGAGAUUAAUGCCAAUGAUCACGGAGACAUAAACAGAAAUAAACAUAUAAAAUAAUCACGGAGAAAUAAGUACAUUAACAUAAUCGUGUAAUUUAAGGAACCAAUUAAUAGAUUCAUGAAAACAAAUAACUAUAACAAUAAACUAUAAUUCAAGAAUACAUAAAUAAUUAAUAUACUAAACUAGUCAUCACACACUAUAUCCUCAACUCCCCUUCUAAGAGGUUCGUCCUCAUUAUCAUUUUCAGUUUCAUGCCCACUUAUGUCAAUUGGUAGGCAUAUACUGUAAUUACUCUCACUAUCCAAUAAUAAAUCUUGGAACCCUCUUUGUGGUGCUUUCAAUACUACAUACCGAUUAGAUUUUUCAAUAUCCUCAUAAUAAAAUACUUGUUUAGCUUGUGAAGCUAAAAUGAAUGGAUCAUUUCCAAAUUGGCUUUGUCCUUCGUGAAGGUUAACUAAAGUGAAUCCUUCAUCGACUUUAACACCAUUAAUUAUAUUAGCCCAAUCACAUUUGAAAAUGGGGACCUGAAAAGUAUUGUAGUCAAGCACUAAUAUAUCUAAUUUGAUUUUUAUUGUUAUUUUAUUUUUUAUUUUUAUUGCAUUAUUGUUAUUUUAAUUUGAUUUUUAUUUUUGUCAACAAAACCCCCAUUUUAUGUUUUACGUUUUAAAAGGAUUUAAAUAAUUACCGAUCUCUGUGGACACGACCCUAUUCAAUUACUAUACACAAUUUAUUUAGAGUAUGUAUUUAUUUUUGUUGGCUUCGACAACCACCAGCUGCCUUUGGUUUGACGAAAAGGGAGAAAGAAAGUUACUUUUGGUUUGUAAAGAAGGGUAAUUUGAGAAGAAAAACGUGUAUUUAGCUAAUGUUGAUAAAAAAAAGUUGAGAGGGUUAAUUUUGAAAAUAAUAAAAAUUUUAUGGUUAUUUUUAUAAAUUUCUCGAUUAUCUUAAGGUCGAUUGUGUACAUAAUUACUCCGAUUGAGAAUGUAUAAAUGGUCACAUUGGUCUUGGGGGCACAUUGGUCGUUUGUAUAUAGAUAAUGUAAAGACAAGGUGUUGUAUGAUAUUAACCAAAUGAAUUCUUGUAAUUGAAUUCUAAUUCCGUUAAUUGGAAAUUGUACUACUACAAACGGAGGCCACCCAUCUAUUUAUAACCGAAUCAAGUGGUGUGUGAUGAGUGUGCAGUUGGUGGGAAGCUCAUGCACGUGAUCGGCGUGUGAUGUAGCUUGUAGCAUAAUAUGUGAUUUUUAUCAUUUUGUUACUUAUAAUUAUUGCAGGUGCGGAUAUUUUAAAUUAUUGAAAAAUUAUUUUAUAAUACUAUAAAAAACCUUUUACAACAUUAUAAAGUUUCGAAUCUAAAUUUUAAAAAAUGUGGGUGCCCUUACUAAAAAAGGACUCUAGCUACUUAACAAACCAAUCUCUUGCUUAUGCUUCUGUUCCAAUAGUACCAAGCGAUGUGAGCACUAUGUGCAGAUCAAAUUUGCCCAUCACAAGUGGUAGCAUUGAUCUGGGUGAUUUUGGUGGAUACCCGCAUAUAUAUCACAACACAUUGCUAUCUAUUAUUUGAAUAUUUUGCGCACUGUACCAAGUAGGCCAGGGAGAAUUCUGAAAUGCGAGUAAAUUUCAGUUUUGGCAGAAAUAAUUUGGGAAGCAAUCACUCUCGUUUUGAUGAUCAAGAGCAAUUCAAAGAGCUAGCCUACGAGCAGCUAGAACUCUCGUAGCAUUUUUGUUUUGCAACUAAUUUUAAUACUUCUUAAUUUCAACUUACUCCUUACAUUUUUCUAUUCUUUGUUGAACAAAAACAAGAUAUUAAUUUGUUGAUCUCAUGAUUACCUGAAAAUAUAUUUACAUGGACCAAUACCUUAUACUGAAAUGCUUUUUCGAAAAAAAAUUGAUAUAUGAAUUAAAAUCUAAUAAUUAAACAAAAUUAUUAUCUUAAAAAACAUGAACAUGAAAAUGCGUAAAAUAAUUUUUUUAAUAAAAAUUAAUUAAUUGUUUCAUCUAGUUAUUUAAAAAAUCCUCUUUUUUUUUUUUUGUCAACUUUAGGCCUAAAUCACUAUAUAUAUAUAUAUAUAUAUAGUGAUGAAAAAAUGCUCUACAAAUUUGGAGCCUCAUGGCCCCUACCUUAAAUGGAGUGAAUUCUGAAUAAUUUUUAUAGAACAGAGUAAGAAAAAAUAAUCCUCAAAUACUUAAUGAGGUGAAAUUUGGUUCUGUACUCCCCACCUCAAUCCCCAUUAUAUAUGAAUUUGUUUUACAUUUUUUUCAAUAAUUUUUGUUUUAUCACUUAAAAUGUUGGUUAAUAAAUUUUCUUUUUAUUUAAUCUAAUAAAAAUAGGUUACAACUAGAAGAAAAUCAUAUAUUAUAAUUCUUAUUUAAUUCUAAAAUAUUGUUAUAUUUUAUUUUUUUCUCAAGGUACUGCUCUAUUCAAAUAUUUUUUAAUUUAAUAUUAUUUCAAAAUAUUGCUUAGAUUUUUUAGAGAUUUUUUAAUAAUUUAAAUAUUUUAUAAUGUGCUAAUAAUUUAUUUAAAUUUUUAAUUUUUAAUUUAUUAAAAUAAUUUAUCUAUAUUUAUUAUAAAAUAAAUAAAUAAAUAAAUAAAUAAAAUAGAGAAAAUAAAUCAUUCCCCACAGAAAUUUUUCAUCCCCACUCCCAAACAAAAUUUUAAUAGGCUAAGUCUCCCCAUCCUACCCCACCCCAUUGCCUAUAUAUAUAUACACAGUGGUUCUUUCACGCGGACACCCGUAACUUCAAAAAUAUGUGAGCACUCACGUUUCGCCCGUUGGAUCCUGUCAACGGCUGAAUUAAGUUGUAAAGUAAAGACAACUACUGACAUUUUUUGUCUGUUAGCCCGGUCUUCAAAACUUUAAAAAAAUCAUUUCUUUUUUUUUCAAUGGGACCAGCUAAAAACCACUCAAUAUAAAAAUACAAUAUAUUAUAUAUAUAUAUAUUUUUUAUAAGUACAAUAUACUAUAUUAUUAUUAUUAUUAUUUUUCUCUUCUCCCACUUCCAUCUCCCCACACCCAAGACCCAACGAGAUUUGGCAGUACUCUCACUCACGCACAGAUGAAAAUUGAAUGUAGAUUUUUUAAAUUCCUUUCCUUUUUCUUUUGCCCCCAAAACUAACUUUCUCAAAGGUCAAUAAACAGUCAUCAUCAUCACCAUUUUUGCUUCUCCAUCUUUCCAUCAUCAAAAUUAUCCUUCCAAUCCAAGAAGAUGAAGCAAAAGAAGGAAAACACACUUCGGUAAGUUACCCAAUUAAAAAAAAAGACUUAACGACCCAUCUAAAUAAUCAAGCUUAAAGGUAUCUCUGACAGAAGAUUUUCUCCAAAAAAAAAAAAAAAAAACAAAACUAGCGGAAAUUGAAGAAGAAAAAACACAGGCCAGGACAUUCUUAAGAAACUUGAAAGUUCGUGAAAGAAGAGCAAAAUGAGGCAUUUAAGCCACAGCUGAGGAAAAUUAGAAGAGUAACAUGUUGGACACGUCAUCUCCGGCCACGUUGCCGUUGAUGAUGAAGAUGAUCCAACGAUUUGGCUUCUUGGGUGUGGGGAGAUGGAGUUGGGAGAAGAGAGAGAAAUUUAAAACUAGUAUAUUGUGUUUUUGGACCUGGCUAUGGUACAGAUUCUGUACCUAACAUCUCUCGUCAUCCCACCGUCCCAUUUUCUAUGGUUUAAUUUCUCACUCCACAUCCAACGGCUGAUGCUGCAGUUGUAGCUUACAGAUUCUGUAAGCUAGUCGAGUCAGCCACUCGGCCUUUGGCCGAGUGGUGAGAGCUGCUGCUCUCCAACUUGGAGAGCAGCAGUUCGAACCCCCACAAUACAUUGUGGGGUCUUCCUUCCUUAAGUAAAUUUGAGUGAAGGCAGUCUGUUUCCUUACUCAAGUGUGAGGAGUAGACAUCCCUCGAAUAUUUGAGAGGGUUAAAAUAUGGGCAGCGCUCCAUUAGUAUUGAUGUAUGUUGGUCCCAGUUAUAGUCUGAUUUGUAAAUAUCAGUUAUAUUCUCAUAUAAUAUUAGUUGUAAUUUGAGCAAUAGUCUCAUAUAAUCAAAAAAAAAAAAAAAAGCUAGUCGAGUCCUGUGUUUUUAUAUUCACGUGGUCCCCAUUAAAUAAAAGAUAAUUUUUUUCCAAAGUUUUGAAGACGGGCCCACACGCAGAAAAUGCCAGGAAUGACCUUUACAUCACGACUUAAUUCAACCGUUGAUGGGAUCUAACGGUCGAAAAGUAAGUGUCCACAUAUUUUUGAAGUUGCGGGUGUCCUCGUGAGAGAAUCACUGUAUAUUGCCAAUUUAACCUAAUGUGGCGUGCAGUAUUGUCCAUGAUUCGUCGAUUUCUUACUAAAUAAUUUUCAAACACGACUUGACUUAAAGACUUCUUAAGCCUCUUUGAGUCUCUCUUCUCUGGCCUUCAAGAUUAGUAAUUUUCAUGAGAACUCGUAUAUAUUCUCUGGAUUUUAUUUUAUUUUCCAAGCAAAACAAGAAUGGCUAAUUGAUUUGACAUAAGUUUAACUCACAAUAAGUAAUUUCAUAAAAUUAGAAAUAAAUUAUAUUUUUUGUAAUAAUUUUCAAGCACAACUGUUUUAAGCUUUAACGUAAGUUUAAUUCACAAUUGGUAAUUUCAUGAAAUUAGAAAUAAAUUAUAUUUUUUGUAAUAAUCUAAUCCUCUUAAGUCUCAUCACUCACGUAAGUGAGAUCAAACCUUUAAUUUGGAUCUCCACAAAAUUUUACCAGUUAAGUAGUAGCACUCACUCCCAAUUAUAAAUAUUCAAUAAAUGUUUUGAUUGUAUUAAUGAAACUUAUGGUUAUAUACACACACACAUAGACACACGAACACCCAUAUAAAUUGUAUAUUGCAAUGACUAUGCAUCAAGCUAUGAUGUAAUCUCAUGUAAAGUUGCCAGAAACAUUAAUAAUUAAAACACAUCAAGCUCAAUAAAUGAAGACUUCAAUUUUAUUUGAUAUUGAGGUGUUAUAACUUUUAAUCUAUAGUUGAUAUAAAAAAAUUGUAACUAUAAUAUAAUAUUAUUUGGUAAAUAUGAUUUAUAAUAAGAUUUUUCACAAAGCUAAUGGAGGUGUUAAUAUAAGUUUUUCUUCAAAUAAAUAUAAGAUUAAUUCAAUUUGAGUUAAAAGCCACAACUAUAAGUGUUUAUCAAAUAUUUUACUGUGGUAACAUUAAAGCCACUCAAUUGCCUCAAAACAGUAUCAACCAGGCUUUUCAUUUUACCACUACCUAUUGUAGUGCUUUAAUCCACAAUUACUAUGACAUGAAAGCUUUCACAAUGAAAUUAUGGUUUACAGUGUUUGGUAAAUACGACAUAAAUAAAAAUUUUAUAAAAACUAGUAAGUAAUAUGAUUUUUCUUUAUACGACUAUGAGAUAAAAUUAUCUCAACUCUCUCUUAAACUAUAAUUAUAACUAUUUACCAAAUGCUUUAAAGUUGUACUUUGAAAAUAACAAUAUCAUUAUAAGAAAAUAGAAUAUAUUUGAUAGCCUAAAAUUGUCAAAUAAGUUAAUAUUUGACAAUCAAAAAGUGUAAGACAUUCCGGUGUCAAAUAUCCUCACAUUUAUUAAAACAGCUAAUUUACCUUUGUAAUUUAAAACCACCAAAGGUUAAUGACAAUAGAAAAUUGUCAAAUAUGUAUGAAAGUUAAUAAAUGUGAGUUGCUCAAACUUGACAAUUACUUAUGACUACUAAAAAUGAUCAAAUAUCUUUUUUUUUUAAGCUACAAAAAUGGUGCCCCUGAUUUGGCAUGUACAAAAGAUAUAUCACAGAAACAGAACGAAUCUCAAAAUUUUCAACUCGAUACAACACAAAAUACGAGCAAACAAAACUGAAAUUUUUGACAUGAAGUUAUACUCUAAAUGUUUGAAACUAUUCAUUAUCUAAAUUCAGUCUUAAACUUAAAAUUAAAUCAGUACCCAUCAAUAAUUUUCAACACCAAAAAGUAAAUUCAACUCCAGCAUUCAUCUAAUACAAGUCAUCCUGUAACUAUUUGUUGUGAGUGCUCUUUGAUUCCAGCUGACGAAGCUUCAGUGGUCCACUGCAAUCCUUAUUAGCCAUUCUCAAGAAAUUAGCUCAAAACAAAUCAAAAUAAUUAUCAGAUUUCAAAUUAAGGUAGCUAAGGGUGAAGAAAAAGGCUGGAAGAAUAUAAGAAUGAAGAUCCUCAUAGCUUCAGUGCAGCUAGAUGCUGAUAUUUUGUGGUUUUGACCAUCUUAAGCAUGUUUGACUUUUUGGGAAUCUUAAAAUGGAUUAAUAAGAAAGCUAAUUGUGAUCUGCUAUUUGAAUAUUUUCCGCACACAGCUUCCACCUGUGCCAGGGAGAAAACUGAAAUGCUGUCACCUAAGAAAUUUCUACUGGUGGAAGCAUUGUGAAUUUCAGUUUUACCAGAAAAGCAAUAACUGUGCCUCUGCUAAGCCACUCAACAAGCUUGCACGCAGUGUUUUCCAACUCAAAACUCAAGCUAGUGUUUCGUUUUCUUAUUUACUUAUUUUUAAUUCCUUUUUUAUUGAGCGAAAAGAGUACCACUGAUUUUGCACAUAAAAUUAUAUAUAAAAUUUGUACAAGAUCAGCAAUUGCAAGAUACUAAAAGAUAAAUUUAUUCACGCUAUUAAUUUUAUCUUUAUAAAAUUCUACGUGCCGCCGAUAAGACAUCCUUAAAUCAAAGGAUGUUCUUCCAAAAUUGGCUGUCGAGUGUCACCACCACCCACCUCUACGACACAUUCCACAUUCUAUUUGUCAUGUGUAAUAAAACGAACUUUUUUCUACAGUUACAUGAAAGAUAAGGAGAAGGAGGAUUCUUUUGUUUUUUCCUCCAAGCCAAAAGCAUGGUGCAAAAGUUAGCAGUACGACAAGUCAACACUGUCUUUACUCGGAAAUAUCCAAUAAUCCAGUGUUGAGCUAAAAAAGAUGAAUAAAUAGAAGGCUGUUUGUUGUGUACAAAACAGUAAACACAGAAGAAAGAGAGAACGGAAAGAGAGAAAAGAAAAUUUCUGAGCAGCACAACGAGAAAACAAAUGAGCGAGUUAUUGACUUCGGAGGACUUCGACGAUGCUCAGAAAAUUAGGUCGGAGAAAGCCUUGACAAGAUGGAGAUCUGCCUGCAAUGGCCUCAAGAACCGCCGUAGAGUCUUACGUAAGCUCGACGAUCUCGACGAGCAUCUCGAAUUACAAGUUGGUUCUUCCUUUUAUUUAUUUAUUUUUUAAUUAUUAGUUAACUUAUGGUUAAAGUUAAUUUGGGUUUAGCUUUAUUUAUUUAUUUUUUAAUUCUAACUUACUUGGGUCUUUGCCUAAUUUCACUGAGGCUAAUGCCUAAUGGGAAAUUUUUAAAAUUAACACUCAAGAAUUUAAAUGCAGAGUGAAGUGUAAAGAUGAAUAGUACAAAAUGAUCAAGAAAUUGAAUUGAAGAUACCGAACUAAAGGCUUUCUGUGGUUACAGGAACUAUUUAGAGCUGCAUCUGUUGCUGUGAAAGCUGAACUUCACUUUACUGAAAGUCUGGGUCUGCCUUCAAAUGAAGAUGUGACUGAGGCUAGAAGAUUUCAUGAAACAAUUGAAGGUGUUGGAUCCACCGUCAGUGGCCAUGGUGUAACGGUAUUUGAUACGAUUGUUCCCCAAUUCAAUUUUCAAGCAUCAAAUUAUGCUUCUUUGAUGUCUGUUAUUGUCUCAUAUAUCAAGGUAAGAAUAUCAAAGUUUUGCCUACAAUUGGUUUUCACUUAAUGAAUGACAAUACAAUUUCAUUGAUUGAAAUGUAUAAUUGCAUUCUUUGUCUAUAACAGAUUUGUGCGCUACUUGGUAAAUAUAAGAAACGUGCACUUGCUGUGUUUUAUGUUGUGUUGGAAGCAGCAUCAUUCUUACUGGACAUAUUUGGGAAAAGUAAGAGGAGCAUCCUUCUUGCUGCAUUUCUAUUGUCAGCAUCUGGUUUUGCUAUUACUAUGAGCAUGCCUACUUGUAUCGCGGGAAGAAUCAGAGCUGCAGCCAGAACAAAUAUUUAAAAGCUGCUACUUGUGGUGUUGGAAAUUUCUUUCUCUGUGGUCCAGUUGUUUGUUACGUUCAUGUACUUUAUUCUGGCGGAAUUGGGUGUCAAGAACAAGUUUAAUGCAUCUGUUUUCCCACUAGUCUUUGCUGUAAUUGCUGCUGCGUUUACUUUCAAAUAUGAUGGAGAAGUUUCUGAUUCAUCAGGCCUUGCCAGCAGGCAUAUAUCCCCAGCUGCUGAUAAUCAGGUAUGGUUGUGAACAUAAUUGUAAUCAUCAAGCUGCACUUGGUUAAUUCGCACACUUGUCACCUCUAUGACUAUGAAUUCCUACAAAUAUAAAGAAAACUACAUGAGACGGUAAGCUUUUGCAAUAUUGUCGAAAGAAGGAAAUAUAAAGAUUGUUUGACGGCAUUGUGUUAGUUAAUAAUUUAGUCAUAUGAGGUCUCUAAAAGAUUGCUUUAUUAAUUUGUCUGUAUAAUCCUAGGGUGCCUCUGUAGAUUUAGAAAUCCUUUAUGAAUGGCCAAAUGAGUACAGAUACCAAAUCUUUGAUAAUUUGUGUCUUUUUAGGUUCAUAUGCCAAAUAAUACUCGCAAUGAGAAUGCAGAAGCAAACGGCAGCAUGCCUAUGCCGGUGAUAGCGACCUCUCAUGACUGAUGAAGAUGAUUCUAAGAAACGAGGUAUGUAUGUUUGUUCUUCACUCUGCCUUCAGGCUUGCUCUCUCUCAUACUAUUUACAUAAAUUCUCUUUUUAAGUUUUACUACCGAAAAAUUUAUAUAUUGUUAAUAGAUGGGUUUGUUUGUAAUGUUUCCAGACCUUAUUUUAGGAGUCUGACAAUUUGAUUAUUGUUUCAAACUUAGAGUCUAGACGAGGCAUUUGCCCCCAUUUGCUCAUUUGAUUCAGAUUCAAGUUGACUAUAAUUAAAGCACAUUGGGUCCAAGUUUUGGCCAUAAGUGUUACAAUUAAUUUCAAUUACUAUGUAGUCCAGUGGGAUGAAUAUCUAUAAUUUGGAUUAUAACCACCCAAUAUAUAUUAUUAUAUAUGAAUAACUUUUUAUUUAUAGAGCACGUUGAGGGGUUAAAUGAUGGUGUUAAGUUUUUGUGAUUCCUGAAAUUCUUGAUACUUGUAUUAUGCCAAUAAGAAUAAAUGAAACUGUUUUGAUUGGGUCACACAUAGAAACUUUGAUGUGCCAAUUAAUUAUUGAUCGGCAUGGUUAAUUGUUUUUGUAACGGUACACUAUCGUGAUAUGAAUUUUUUUUAAAAUGAUUUUAUUAUUAUCAUUAUUUUUACUAUUAUUUAACACAACUGCAACUAAAUUUUCUCCAUAUUUUAUGUGCAGGGUUUCAGCUCCAGAACUAUCGUUUUCCACUUCAAAAUUUUACCAACAAAUUAGAUUAGCGGCCCCCCCUAUGUAGAGAUUUAUAUAACUUACAUAUUUCUGCAGUUAUCAAAUUCAUGAUUCUAUUAUUUUUCUUGGAAAUUAUCCUUCAAAAUAACUGUGUUCCAUAUAUUUUCCCAGAUAGCUUUAUAGUCAUUUGAUCAGAAUAGUACAUAAAGAUCAUAAGCUAGAUAUUUAUAUGUAAUCAAGAUUAUCUUAAGGUCAAUUAUGUAUAUAAUUACUUCGAUUGAGAAUGUAUAAAUGGUCGCAUUGGUCUUGCGUGCACUUAAUUUGGAGGGAAUUAAAAUUUUGUAUGUAAUCAUGAUCCUAAUGAACUCGCUAUGGGUUUCAUUGAAUAGUGAACUGUUAAUCCACAUCUACUUUAUGACUGGAUCCAGCCAGAAGCAGUAUUUGACUCCAGGUUUAUGGAUCAACAAUGAACUGAAAUUAUCAAUCCAGACACAGAAUUCGUAUCUCUGCCCAAACCAAUAAUACCUCCUAUGCAUACAUCCAUGCAAUAGUAAGACAACUCUGUUUAAGGCACAUAGCCAAAUCUACAAUGACAACUCAAGAUACAUUAGUAUUAAGAUAUAGUUAUGUAAAAUAAUUGGUCAUUAAUAGAUUAAUCAUAAUUGACAUUGUGAGAUCAUGCCAAAAUAUUUAGGGGACCUUUUAAUCAAAGGCCUUGCAAGAGAUGAGAUUUCCAGUAUCAACUUAUCACCAGUGACUGUGCCUCAGCCCAAGGCUUAGAAACAUCAAGAUCUUGGAUUAAUGAGUAUAAGCGUAUCAAAUAGUUGUGACUGCAAGCAUUAUAGUUAUUUAUGUGCUUCAAAGAAAAAUAUAAAAAUAAUUAAAUUAUAACAAUAUACUCUCAUUUGAAGAUAUAUGACACAAAUUUCUUACAAGCUCAUACAAGUCGAGAUCACAAGAAGGUUUUAUUUUCUCAUUAAAUUGAUCAUAAAGGUUCCUUUUAUUUUGAAAAUGGUUGCACAUGUAUAUUUUAAAAGAUUAAAAAAAAAAAUAGUGACAUAGAUACCAUUUAAUGAACCAAAAUGAUUUGUAUGGAAAAAUAGAUGUCAAUGCGAAUUAUUACAACAACAAAAAGUGCAAUGUUAAAAGUCUUGGUAUCACGAAGACCUUUAAUUAAAGGCCUUGCAAGAGAUGGGACUUCCAGCAUCAAAUUAUCACCAGUGAUUGAGCCUCGGCCCAACACUUGGAAACAUCGAGAUCAGGUGGUGCGUGAUGAGUGUGCAGGUGGUGGGAAGCUCAUGCAAGUGAUCGGUGUGUGAUGUGGCUUGUACCAUCAUAUGUGAUUUUUAUCAUUUUGCUGCUUAUAAUUAUUGCAAGUGCGGAUGUUUAUAUUUUUUAAAAUGUAGAUUUGUGAAUUCUAAAUUUUAUAAUAUUAUAAAUUAUUGAAAAAUUAUUUUAUAAUACUAUAAAAAACUUUUUACAUCAUUAUAAAAUUUCGAAUCUAAAUUUUAAAAAAUGUGGACAUCUCCACCAAAGGACUGUUGAUACUUAACAAGCCAAUGUCUUGCUCAUGCUUCCGUUCCAAUAGUACCAAGCGGUGUGAGCACUCAAAUUGAUCUCACAAAAGGUGCAGCUCCAAUCAGCUUAUUCUGUUCUUUAUAUUGCUGCAAAAUCAGCUGGUUAUAAUAACCACUUUAACCACCAACGGGUCCCACUCCAGCUGACUCAGCUUGCCACCUCAUAACUCAACCAAAUAUAACUAACUGGCUUCCACAAUUAUUACCUUAAAAAACAUGAAGAAAAGGCAUAAAAUAAUUUUUUAAUAAAAAUUAAUUAAUUAUUUUAUCUAAUUGAGAUUAUUUAAAUUUUUUUUUUUUUUGGGUUAACUUUAGGCCUAAAUUUUUAAAAUAUUAUGGCCAAUUUAACUUAUUGCAGUGUGCAAUAUUGCCCAUGAUUCGACGACUUCUUAGCUAAAUAAUCUUCAAACAUGACUUGACUUAAAGACUUCUGAAGCCUCUUGAGUCUCUCUUCCCUAGCCUUUAAGAUUAGUGAUUUUCAUGAAAACUCGUAUAUAUUUUCUGAAUUUUAUUUUAUUUUUCAAGCAAAACAACAAUGGGUAGGUAGGUCAUUUACUUGACAUUGGUUUUACGAAGAGGGAGACUGUUUUAGUCUUUAACAUAAAUUUAAUUCACAAUUAGUAAUUUUAUGAAAUUAAAAAAUAAAUUAUAUUUUUUUGUAAUAAUCUAAUACUCUCAAGUCUCAUCACUCAUGUGAGUGAGAUCAAAUCUUUAAUUUGGAUCGCUCCACAAAAGUUUACCAGUUAAGUAGUAGCACUCAGUCCCAAUUACAAAUAUUCAAUAAAUGUUUUGAUUGUAUUAAUGAAACUUAUGGUUUCUUAUUAUAUAUAUAUAUAUAUUGACUUGAUCAUCUCACCAAUAUUAACUUGAUAAAAAAUGGAGAAAGAUGACAAAUGUGAUCUCACGUAAAAUUGCUAGAAACGAUGAUAAUUAAAACACAUCAAACUCAAUUAAUAGUUAAUCAAAACUUUAGUUUUCGACACCGAAAAGUAAAGUCAGCACCAGCAUUCCUGUAAUACAAGUGAGCCUGUAGCCGUUUGUUGUGAGUGCUCUUUGAUUCUAGCUGAUGAAGCUUCAGUGAUCCACUGCACUCUUUAUUAGCCAUUCUUAAGCAGUCACCUCAAAACAAUCAAAAUAAUUAUCAGAUUUCAAAUUAAGGUAGCUAAGGGUGAUGAAAAAGGCUGGAAAAAUGAAGUCCUCGUAGAUAUUGUCCAGCAAAUUAUGUCCAAGAAGUUCUCUUUCAAUGGUUAAGGUAUUUGUCUCGUAUUCACAUUAAAAGAUAUAUAGCUAAGGUAUUUGUCUCAUAUUCACAUUAAAAUACAUAGCUAGGUAGCAACAUGUGGACAAUUCAUAUUCAUGGGUGUCAAGUCUUUUAAAGAUCCAGGAAGCUCAUAUUAUGAGUCAUAAAACUGCAAAAAGAUAUUAUAGCACCAACACAAAACUAGAUAUGCAAGAGAAUUUUUUAGAAUUCAUUAAUUUGUUGACUGACUGGCCCAUUGUCACACUAACCCAUAAUCUGAUCUUCCACCUUGUAAUUUGUUUGUUUUUUCAAAUGGACAGCCACAAUUUUCCUUAAUCAUCAAACCAACAAUUUUUUUUUUCUCCGAAUCAUAUAGUCACAAUAAAAAUUCAAUCUUUAAACUAUUGUUGCGAUCAUUAUAAUGUCUUUUAUUCGUUGUUGAUAGAUAGAAAGCAACUUAAAGAGAUCUAAAGACAUAACAAGAAAUUAUCCACGAUUGUAAAACCAUUGCUCCAAGUUAAAAGUCUUUAACUUUUUGUUGGUUUUUACUUUAAAAAUCAAAAUGGCUCACUCUAACUUUAAAAUUUUCAUUGCCAUGGCAUUGCUUUUCGUUUCUGAUGGCGCAAUCUCUAUCUUUGUCUCCAACGAAGACUCCACUAGAAGUAGUGCCAUCGCUAUUGAAGACUUAGUCAACCGCUUUGCCAUCUCCAUUGAGUGCUCCCCCUGUGACCACGACCUCUCCAGUGACUGUCAGUCCUCUGUUGUCACCUCCUCUGUUUUCGUCUUCUCCGGCACUAGUGAAUUCUCCAUCAUUGAUCUCAAUGCCUCCAUUUGAUGCUCCCUACUCCGUCUGAGAGCUCUGAUGUUUUGUAAAGAUUUGUCGUUUCUGGAUCUCUGGUUUUCGGGCUAUUCGCUGCCGUUUUGGUUAUGUAGAGUUCACCUAGUGAAAUAUCAAUUUAUUAUUGUAUUUGGACAAUUUUUUUCCUAUUAUUUAUUUACAUCAUUUGUACGUAUAGAAAUAAUUCUUUUAGUUUAUUUCUUACUAUAUUUUUUUAAAAAAAAUUAUCCACUAUAAAAAAAAAACCAAACAUAAAUUUCCAAAUUCAAAACCCUUGCCACUAUGAGUAUGACCACCACAAUCACUAUGAAAGCCACCCACAAAGCAAUUCAGCUAGUCGCCGCCAGUUGCAAAAUUGUCAACUUCUAUUGACUAAAAUACCACCACCUGCCGUCCUUAGCCACCACAGUCAAGAACCACCACACCAACAACCAAACCUACAAGCAAUUGACCUCAAAUCGACUUGUCCUCAAAUCGACCACUGGUCAAUAACCUUUAUCAACAAUUGAAACCAUCGAAUAGACUCACCAUAGAGUAAGAGUUAGAGAGGAGAAGAAGAAAUGAGAAAAGAAUACAUAUGAUACGUUUAUAAUUUUAUUAUUUUAAACAAAUUUAAGGGUAAUUUUAUUUUUUUAAUAUUUAAGAAUAAAUUGUUAAUAAAACUGAGUGUAAGGAGCUUAAUGAAAUUUUACAAUAACUAAGAAAGGAUGUUGAAAAUAAAAAAGAGUAAAAAAAGAGAGGGAAAAGUGGUAAAUUGAAUUUUGAAGAUGUAGGUAAGUAAAAAUAUUAUAAUACUUUUUACUAAAUUAUAAAUAAAAUAAACUUCAAGGGGCUCAAUAAAAUGUUAUAGUAAGUUAAGCCACGGAAAGUAUCAUAGUACUUUUUAAUAAAUAUAUAUUAAUAGAUUAAAAGGGGCUCAAUGAAAUUCCACAAUAACAAAGUCUGACAAAAGCUGUUGUAAGAUACAACUGUGGUAACAUGGUGGGAUCCUGAAAUUGGAUAUUCUUAUUUUAAUUAUGAUUUUGAAUUUUAAUUAGAUUAAAAUUAAAUUGCGUUGAACUACUAUAAAUAAGUGGUUUCUAUUAUAUUUUUGAGUAAAUAGUAAUAAAAUUUAGGAUAUGGUUAUGUCGGAGCAGAUUUACGGUGGAGCACGAAUUUCAGCCCCACAUGCAAAGUGAUAAAUAGUAAAAAAUUAAUUAUAACUUUGAUCGUGUAAUUAUAAAAUGGUGCUAUACUUUAAAACAACUCCAACAUAACCAAACUCUAAAAUUUAUUCUAAUUCCUAUUAAUUCUCCUCUCCCCCCUCUAAUUUCUAAAACUCUUUAUCUUUUCUCUUUUAAAUUUUCUAAUCAAAACCUUGUCAUCUACUAUUAGGGCAUAUUCUCCCAAGCAACCGAUUUUUCUUUUUUCCCUUCGACUAAAAAAAGAAAAAAUAAAUUUCCAGCAUCCCAAAUUUUUGCCAAUAUCCCUUCACUUUUAAUUUCGGUUUUUAUAAGUCAAUUAAUUGCUUUAAUCAAGUUAUACCACCAACUAAUUAUGACUUUUGUAAGUUCCACCGCAAGCCAUCAACCGAACCAAUCAUUAACCUUGACCAACUCCAAUGAUCACACCUAAACUAGCGCCAUCGUCAACCACCGGCUACCAUAACUCUGAAUUUUCUUGAUAAUCUUUUUUGCACAUCGUGAUCUUUACAGUGCUUGAAGAAAAAGUUACACAACUGACUCAAGUUAAUCUGUACUCCUAAGUCCUAACCUUUCAGAAUAGCACUCUAAAGGCACUUCUGCUAGACAAUCUUGAAUGAUUGGGCGAGUUGUGCAAGGCAACCCAAACAUUUAUCACCAUUUAGGCAUGUCGAGAGGCAUUCUACGGAGGUUUAUUUUAACUGUGAUUAGCAACCUAAGCCAGAGCAUAAUUGCAAACAACCUCAGCUAUUGCUUUUAUCAACUGAUGUCUCCAGUAAUCAUCAGCCCAAUACUUCAGUGAUUUCCAUUCUGCCAACACACUAUUUCGAUUGGAAGCCGUUUGAUGACUUUUUGAAUUGCGAACAAGCCUAAUUCAGGGGAUGUUAUCACCCUAGUAGCUUAUUUUAAUUUCCUUUCUACUAGGAUUAGGUUUUCUUAUUGCAAUUAUGAUUUAGGAUUCUAAUUAGAUUAGAAUUAAAGAUUGUGUUGAACUACUAUAAAUAGUAGUUCCCAUUAUAUUUUUGGGCAAGCAAUAAAAUUAAUUCUAAUUGCUAUUAAUUAUUCUCUCUCCCAUUUGAAUUCUUAGGGUGCAUUAGGUACUGUUUUCAAAUCCAUUUUUUAUUUUCUGAAUUCACAAAACACUAAAUAUGUGUUCGGUAGACUGUUUUUAAAAAUAUUUUUGAAAAUGGUAACAAUUUUCUAUUACCAUCUCACAAAAUAAUAACAUCAUCAUUAUUAUUAUUAUUACUACUACUACCAACCAAAAAAUCAAUUUCCCUCACAAUAAAUUUUUUUCAUAUACAUUAUGAUAUUGUAUAUAAUUAAAUCAAAUAUGUAGAGUUUAUCGUUUUUCUUUAAACAACAAAAUUAACAAGAUCACCUAAUUUAUUCAUAAAAUUAAAAUAAUCAAACUAAUUAAAUAAUAAAAAUGAUUAUUCAUUACUUUAUUUUUAUUUUAUGAAAAUUAUUCCAAUAAUAAUUCUUUAAAAUAUUUCUACCGAAUAUAUUUUACUUUUUUUUUUUUAUUUUUAGAUUAUUUUUGAAAAUAAUACCAAACACAUUUUUAAAUUUAAAAAUAACAUUUUCAUCCUCAUUUUUAUUUCAUGAAAACAAUAUUUGAAAAACAAUACUAAACAAGACCUUAAAUUUUUUAUCAAUUCAUAUUUUCUUUUUUGAAUUCUCUAAUAAAAAACCUUGAAUUUUUAGGCUGCGAUUGGCUCCACCCUUUAUAUUCUCACGGAAACCCAUGAGAAUAUACCCCCAAACGUAGGGAUGACAAUGGGGUGGGGUGGGGUGGGGGUAGAGAGGCUUACCCCAUUCCCCACCUCAUUCCCCAAUAAAUUUAGUGGGUUGGGGAUGGGGUAUCCCCACAUGGGGAAUGAUUUCCCCAUCCCCACCCCAUUCCUUAUUUACCUACUUUAUAGUAAAUAUAAAUAUAUGAUUUCAGUAAAUUAAAAAUUAAAAACUUAAAAUAAAAUCAUCACCAUAUUAUGAAGUAUUUAUUUUUUUUUAAAAAAUCUCUAAAAGUUUGAAACAAUAUCUUAAAAUGAUAUUAAAAGUGAAAAAUAUUUAAAGAGAGCAACACCUUAAAAGAGAAUAGAAAACAUAAUAAUGUUUUAGAAUUGAAAAAUAUUGUAAGAUUUUCUUCUAUUCAUAUUUUGUUUAUAUUACAUAAAAAUUAAAAAAAAUUAUUAAUUGACAUUAUAGUUGAUAAAAUAAAAAUUACUAAAUAAGAAUUAAAAACAUAUUUAUAUAUAAUGGAGAUUGGGAUUAGGGUGGGGUGGGGAGUACCAAACCCCACCCCGUUAACAAUUUGGGGAUUAUUUUUCCCCCACUCCCCACUCUAUUUCCCAAAAAUUAUUAAAAAAUUUUCUCAUUUGGGGUGGGGCUCCAAACUCGUGGAGGAUUUUGCCAUCCCUACCCAAACGCACUGUUAAACAGGCUGCACGACAGCCUCUCCCAAUUAAUAAAUAUUUAUUUUCUUUAACAAACACCCGCCACUAAUAAUUUAGCACGAUUCAACCUAAUAUUAAUACUUUCGCAAUUUCUCUUUGUAUCACACUUGUCUUCUUAUGCUGGUGUUCUUUUUUUUUAUUUAAAAAAUCUAUGUUCUUAUGAAAUGGAUGAUUGAAGGAAUUCACUUUCAUGAUUUGAGUGAAUGUUAUGGUUCAUGCCAACAGUCUUAGUCGUUAGACGACCUUGGUAUAUAUUGUUCUGUAAAUUAAUAGUGUAUGUGCGAUAGGAGUUUAGGCACGAAAUUUGAGCAGAAAAAAAUUAUAAAUAUUAUUAUCAUUCUCUCUUUGCAUAGUGAUCAACAUUGAUAUUUACGUAUGAAGUCUGCGUGAGUCCUUAAUGUUGGGGAUAAAAAUUACCACGGGUUGGAGUCCAUGUGACAAUAAGCAAGCCCAAUGCAGAUUGAACCAGGCCCAGUCCUUUAGCAAAACUACUCGUGAUUAAACACUUGAUGAAUGAGUAAAAGCCGACAGAAAGACUAUAAAAUGGCGAGAAAGCCAGCAAAGAAGCCGAGUAGACGGCCACUCAAACAACUUGGCCUUUGGCCGAGUGGCUGUGAGAGCAGCGGUUAGAGUUGAUAUGAAUUUCAAUUCUCCUUGAUUGAGUAGAGGAACUAAUUUGUAAUUUUUUUCCUUGUGCCAAAUAUUUAUUAUGAUUGUAUCUGAAAUAUCAUUUCUGAAAGAAAAAAAGGCCCACUCAAACAAGGCUUCUUCGAAGUGGCAGUGGCUCAACUCAUCGUCAAUCCAGCAAAACGGAAGCCAAUAUAACUCAAAGAAAGCCAAGAAGUGAAACGAAUCCAGCAAGCACACCAAUUCUACAUUACAAGCCUCAACAGCAACCCAGUACAAUUUCUGACAACACCAGAAUACUUUUGUAUGAUUACUUUUGGGACCAAUCCUUCCUGUUAAAAUUGGCGCAUUUUAUUACAUCAUAUGUUGUGACAGCGUAAUGAGCACUUCAACGAGCCUUCUUAAUCGUAACAUUUCUAUUAUUCAUCUGCUCAUUAACUGACAAUUACAGUAACAAGAUAAUCCAGAAACAAAAAUGGGAAUGGAGGAGAGUGUGCUGAAGCUGAAGCUUCCACUUACAAAAUCAUUCAAUCUGGAGACGGCUGUGUGCAGCCACGGCCUGUUCAUGAUGUCUCCGAAUCGCUGGGACCCUCUUUCUCGAUCCCUUUCUCGGCCUCUCCAUCUUUCUAAUUCUCUCGACAACACCAAUAUUCCCUCAGUCUCAGUCGCCGUCACCAUCUAUCAGCCCCAGCAAGACCCUCACUCUCUCCACAUCGAUGUUCGCAAUUCUGCUUCUGGGUCCGCGCCGUCACCUUCUCAAGAACGGCAAGACGCGUUGCUUGCUCAAGUCAAGAGAAUGCUGCGCUUCUCGGAGGCUGACGAGAGGAAUGUAAGAGACUUCCAAAGGAUUGUACAUCAAGUGGCCCAGGAGGAAGGGGAAGAGUCUCAGUAUAUGACGGAUUUUAGUGGGAGAGUGUUUCGGUCGCCUACUUUGUUCGAAGAUAUGGUCAAGUGCAUGCUACUCUGCAGUUGCCAGUCUGUUCUCUUUUCCUUCCCUUCCUGUUCUUCUCUUUUUAGCGUUUUCGUUUUGCCUAUCACCUGUUUGAUAUAAUGUGCCUUCUUUGGUUGGUUUAGUCGUGUUUGUUGUUUCUUGCGUAUUUUGCAAUUACUAGCCCCAUUUUGUUACAUCUUCAUGGAGCUCGCUGUCAAAUUUUGUUGCUAUAUAACCAAAAUGUUGCCCGCAUUUUUUCUCCUUUUUAUGCUCUAGAAUUGAUCCGGUUUGACCCGGAUUCGACCCGACCCGCGACCUUGACCCGGACGGAUCUCGCGAUUCAGGCCACCUCACCGGCCGAUCUUGGUACCGAUCUGAAGCUUGGAAGCCGGUUGUCAUAACCAAGCUGUCCUCACUGCCGGAAAACGGCAAGAACGCCGACGAUCGAAGCUCGAAAAAUCGCGGCAAAAACCCAUCACCAUCGCCGUUAAUUUCGCUGGAGUUUGGGCACACCUUCAGCUGGGUUCUACUCCUCACGUCACCAGCAUCAUUUUCCGACCAACCUUGUCACCUGAAACGGCCGGAUUGUCGACGAUCGGCCACUUGGAAAGCUCGCGGCUUUGGGAGCACGAUUCGCCGCCAUCACCGCGCGUGGGAACUCACGGCCACCACCGUCGGACUCACCGAGGUCUAAACUAUCAGACCUAAGCUUCCCGUCAUCGUUGACUGAAGUCCGGUCACCGUUGACCCGCGGGGGCAAUUCGGUAAUUUCAUAAAACUUUAGGGUGAAUUUGUAAUUUACGGAAUCAGUGGAUAAUUUGGUAAUUUUAGGUUAGAGCAGUGAGGUAAUUUGAGAUUUCGAGGGUAAUUCGGUAAUUUAAGUCAUUAAGGAUAUUUUGGUAAUUUUACGCGCAGAAGGUAAUUUCGUAAUUUCUGACAUUGUGGUAAUUUCGUGAUCUGAAUUGAGGACAAUUUAGCAAUUGAAGAUUCUGAGGAUAAUUUGGUAAAAUAAUGAUGUUGGGGGCAUUUUGGUAAUUUUGGCAUGUAAGAGUAUUUUGGUAAUUUUGUGCAUGUGGGAGUAGUUUAUUGUGGAUAGAUAUUCGUUUCGAGAAUUAUUAUGUUAAAUUAGUUAUAUUUUAAGUUUAUGGAGAAUGAUUAUGUCAUUUCCUUAAUUAGGAGGAUCCGCGAACGAGAAUCAACCCGCAGACGUUGUUGAUACCGAGUCUGGACUUUGUCACUGUGAGUGAAAUAUACAAAACCUAUUUUGAUAAUAUAUGCUGAUUUUAUGAUACAGUGCAGUAUGUUUUGUUAAUAAGUAUUUGAUGCUUCGAUUUAAUGAUUUUCUAGGAAAUUGAUUUUUAUCUCUCUCUCUCUCACGUGCCCCUCUCUCUACAACAACUACAAUUUAUUUGAUAUCGAAGGAUCUCAACUCAUCAAAGCAAUGGCGGUGUACUCAAAGACUCUAACUGCAACGGAUCUUUCUAUUGGGCUGAUGGUUAAUGCCAACCGUCUUGGAAAUUUUUUUCCGGCAUUCCCAGCUGGCCAAUACGAUCAACAGUUGGUUGUAGAGGACGAGAAUGGAAAACAUUGGGAAUUCUCCUUGCGCAUCAGGCGGGGACGGUUCGAGAAGCCCUGUAUCAGCAAACAAACCUGGCAUCCUUUUGUUGUGGAAAAGCAAGCUGAAGUUGGUGAUAAGGUUGAGUUUUCUAGGCAAACAGAUGGAGCUACCGGAUCAGCAUUCAGGUACAAGAUUAGAGUGAUGAAGCCAUAGAACCCACCAGCGGAGCUAUUCGGUUCUACUAUCGAUUGUGUUCGGCGCAUUCCAAACAAUUAAAAUGGACAACUGUUCGCUUUCUUUAUUAAUUGCAUGCUAUUAAACAUAUUAUUCGGUUUUUCUUUUCUAGUGGAAAUAAGAUUUGUUUGCAUUAAAAAAUUAAAAAAAGUUUAUUAUUAUACUGAUUUGCCAGAA